AGAAGAUCCUGGCAGGGGAGAUACCAUGAUCACAAAGGUGGUUUUCCCAGGGCGAGGCUUAUCCAUUGCACUCCGGAUGUGCUGACCCCUGCUAUUUCCCCAAAUGUGGGAAACUUGACUGCAUAAUUUGUGGCAGUGGAGGACUGCGUUCGCACUCCCCUG
This 162-nucleotide small nuclear RNA is filed under the name Castor canadensis (American beaver). Its description in RNAcentral is "U1 spliceosomal RNA (ENSCCNG00000017936.1)". It matches the Rfam family "U1 spliceosomal RNA". From Rfam's summary of the family: U1 is a small nuclear RNA (snRNA) component of the spliceosome (involved in pre-mRNA splicing). The record is from Rfam by way of RNAcentral. Lineage: Eukaryota; Metazoa; Chordata; Mammalia; Rodentia; Castoridae.